Long non-coding RNA from Xiphophorus hellerii (green swordtail), 656 nucleotides. RefSeq lists it as uncharacterized. The transcript has 2 exons. The record is from RefSeq and is a predicted model, not a curated record. Lineage: Eukaryota; Metazoa; Chordata; Actinopteri; Cyprinodontiformes; Poeciliidae.
AUAGAUAGUGGGGUUUUUAGGCUGGCAUAGAUAGUAAACUGGUCUGGCCGGUGUGUGUGAGCAGCUGGGGGCUUCAGCGCGCCCAAAACAUGAGCAUGGGACUGCAAAAACGAAACGAGUAUCCGUGAAGGUUGCGUAGGAGAGCCAAAAUUUUACUUCGGCUCAUGUGCAGGCAUGUGACAGGAGGUGGUUUAUAGAUGAAUGGCAGUGAAGUAAAGUGAACGCCGCCGACACACACGUUGAGAACGAACUCAGCUUUGUCUCGCGGGCGAGUAUUUCUGAAGAUGCUGACGAUAAGCAGAUUGAUGGGGAACAUGAUGAUGGAACUUUGAAAUCCAACCAUAACCUGCUGCCAGGUGAACUCAAUGUGACCUGCAACAUAAAGGUAGGUUUUAAGUUUAGUCUAAUUUUAUACAAUAAAGCAACAGGUAAAAAUUUUUAUUAGGACUUUUAAUAUUUUUUUUAGCAGAUUAUGUAAAACAUUAUGGUGGAUCAUGAUAAUGAAAAAUGGAAAAUGUGAUUUCUUCCUGCUGCAUGACUUAAUUAACUUCUUUGAGCAGAGGAAGCAAAGAGAACAUGGAGAGGAAUUGGAGAAAAACUAGGUUGAAGAAUGGAAAGACUAAUUAUCACAACAUCAGUGACAAAAAAAGAAAUAU